AGAAGAGUCUCUAGCAUUUAACCAGCCAUAGUUUAUCCUUCUACCUGGCCUCUAUGCUUCGCACGAUGUCAACAAAGACAUGCAGUCUGGCACCGUUAACGCACAGGCUUUUGUGUUUUGUAGCAUAUAUCUUUCUCAAACGUCGACCAAUGAAUUUUAAACUUGCUAGGUUGAGAGCACACAAGCCACACUUCAGACGAACAAUCACCGUUAGACGCACAUACAGGACACAGCAACAGUGCGCACCACCCCCACAAAUCUUCACAUAGCUGUCGCUGCUCAAGCAACUAUACUCAGCAUUUAAAGUAGAAAUGGCUACUCCUAAAUGGAAAAGCAAUAUAGGAGACCAAUUUGGACUAGAUUUUUUGAAGAAAUCAUGGACUGUGAGUCAAGCAACUUGUGAUUCAGGAGGUCCCUUUGGCUCUUGACCCCCACCCCACUGUGAUGCCAUCAUCUGGCUGGGCAUUUCAGAGCUUUCCCAGAAGUCGAUAAGUCUCCCCCUUCUUUCUCCUAUUCCCUUCUAAUCUUUUCUACUCCUACCAACUGUUUGCUUAUUAUCUAUGUGCGUAAGAAGGCAUAGAUACCACAUAUGAUCUAACAUCAUAUGGGGUGAUCUAACAUAUGAUGCAAACAUCACAUAUGAUGUUAGAUCACCACAUACGAUGCAAAAACCACCUAUGUUAGAUCACCACAUAUGAUGCAAACACCAAUUAUGCUGUUAGAUCACAUAUGAUGCAAACACCUUUAGUACCUUUAUGAAGAGAAGCUAAUUUUCCAUCAUGUAUAACAUUCCUGGGAGUGUGUAACCAUUAUUUUAAUGACCUUUGCACUGUUGUUUGUUCUGGGUAGGUAUGAACUUAUGAAAAUUCAUAAUGUGUCCAAAGUGUUCAAUUUGGCACAAAGUGGCCAAUCUGGAAAGGACACUUUGGCCUUGCUUUACAAAUGAGCUUUGGCUAGUUGGCUGAAAGAACUCUUGGCUGAAGAGAAGUAGCAGUUUGCCGGGGCAAUUGAGGACAUGAUGUCUGAUGUGGAGACUGACCCGGUGGAUUUUUGGUUUCCUCUCUGAGUAGGCAGUCUGCAGAGUUUGAGUACUUGAUUAACCGCUCUUAUGGGGAGAAUAGGCAUCGCCAAAACUAAAACCGCUCCACUCGUCCACAACCACCACAGCCCUAUCCUGGACACCUGAUUGCUCAGGACAUUUUAAGAGAAGGGAAGCUGUGGUUCACCUGGCAACUGAAGACAUGAUGUCUGGUGUGGAUACUGGAUUUUUGGUUUCCUUAUCAAAUUAGCUGACCAGUGUUAUAGAAAUUUGUUGGGCUGAUGUAUUAGUGAAUUCUAAAGAAUUACUGUUUUAAGAGUUUAGUACAAUUUUAGUACAAUGCUAAAAAUGUCUGUAAAUAAUUAGACUUGCACAAAAAGUAUCUGUUCAGGAUGUGUAAGAUCACAACUGUGCAAUCCAACUGACACUGAUGUUGGUUACUUGGUCUGAAAUAAAAACAAAGAGGGUUAACAGAAGACCAAGCGUAUACAGGUAUUUAAAGCUGUUGAUUA
Esox lucius (northern pike) is the source of this 1551-nucleotide long non-coding RNA. Lineage: Eukaryota; Metazoa; Chordata; Actinopteri; Esociformes; Esocidae. The record is from Ensembl.